UAGGGAAUCUUCGGCAAUGGACGAAAGUCUGACCGAGCAACGCCGCGUGAGUGAAGAAGGUUUUCGGAUCGUAAAACUCUGUUGUUAGAGAAGAACAAGGACGUUAGUAACUGAACGUCCCCUGACGGUAUCUAACCAGAAAGCCACGGCUAACUACGUGCCAGCAGCCGCGGUAAUACGUAGGUGGCAAGCGUUGUCCGGAUUUAUUGGGCGUAAAGCGAGCGCAGGCGGUUUCUUAAGUCUGAUGUGAAAGCCCCCGGCUCAACCGGGGAGGGUCAUUGGAAACUGGGCGACUUGAGUGCAGAAGAGGAGAGUGGAAUUCCAUGUGUAGCGGUGAACUGCGUAGAUAUAUGGAGGAACGCCAGUGGCGAAGGCGGCUCUCUGGUCUGUAACUGACGCUGAGGCUCGAAAGCGUGGGGAGCAAACAGG
Molecule: ribosomal RNA, 429 nt
Filed under: Gemmatimonadota bacterium
Lineage: Bacteria; Pseudomonadati; Gemmatimonadota
Description: Gemmatimonadetes bacterium partial 16S ribosomal RNA
Rfam family: Bacterial small subunit ribosomal RNA
Source: RNAcentral